AAGGAAGGAGCUGAGCUUCCUUCAUGUCCAAUAUAGAGGGCUGAGAAGUGGUUAAGAGCUGCCAUCUCAUGCAUUUCUGGCUAUUUACAUUGCAUUCUUAUCAAUUGCGGCCGAGGAUGAAGCGAAGCAAAACAAAACAAAAGCCGAAAUGCAAGUAAAAUAGCCCUGAUGCAUGAGUCGGGAGCAACUCCUUCCACGUCGCUUUGUCCGCUAAUUGGAGUGAAGGGAGCUCCAUCCCUUCAUAUC
This 246-nucleotide microRNA precursor is filed under the name Spinacia oleracea (spinach). RNAcentral describes it as "MIR159 microRNA precursor family". It matches the Rfam family "MIR159 microRNA precursor family". The record is from Rfam by way of RNAcentral. Lineage: Eukaryota; Viridiplantae; Streptophyta; Magnoliopsida; Caryophyllales; Amaranthaceae.